GUGUAGCCGGCUUGUACCGACUCCGACCCGCUCCAGGCUACUGCUUCCUUCAGUCCGGGCAAUACUCCACCACCAGACCGCUAAUACUUUUUGGGAUUUUGGCUCAGGCUACAUAAGAAGUGGUCAUGGAUAUAUCAUCUUGGGAUGGAACCAUCUCAUUAGCGGAAUUUCAUGUCGCUGCUCGUGCUUUAGUAGAGAAAUGGAAAAGGGUUUCUUCAGCUUCCCCUCCUUGGUCAUGGGUCUCUUGUCCAAAACAACCUUGGGUUGCUUCUCACGAAGUUAGCGUGGAAGGAUACUUGUCACUGGAGAACAUAAUUCUCGUGUCAAUUAAGGAGGAACAUGAUGAACUACUAAGUUUCCCUCAGAAAGAAGAGACAAGUUGCUCUGACAAAGAGGAGUCCAUUGAUAUUGCCACCUUAGUCCAGAGUCAGAGUGAUCGUGAUGAAAUAUGUUACUAUGAUCUCCAUAUAGUAUAUAGUGCUUCAUAUAGGGUUCCGGUGCUAUAUUUUCGUGUGUACUACAGUGAUGGAGAACCUUUGGAGUUUGAGGAUAUAAAAAAACACCUUCCUGCUCACUCUGCCAAAACACUGUUGGAUUCAAAAUGGACGUUUAUAACCCAGGAGGUUUUCAGUGCACCUCAUGGUACGAAGUUUUGCUUUUUGCAAGAGGAGAAGAUUAUCAAAUGAGCAUGUAAAAGUGAUUUGAAUUCUCGAGCAUGUGCCAUUAGUUUUAAUGAUCUGACUGGAUAAAAACAAGGUGGGUCUGGAUUGGUGCGAGGCUCUGUAACUUCUUUUAUUUGGAGGGUUAAGUGUAAUUGUGAUAGUCAUGGUUGUGGUGGUCACAAUUGUGGCCAUUAACAUUGGCGACAAACUUGGGAAGGCUGUGGUGAGGGUUUUCUCAGAUCUGUCCAAGAAGAGUGGAGAAGGCAAAAAAGAAAUGUGUUGCUGAUUGGGUUUUGGGCAUGAUGGGACAAAACAAUGCACGUGGAUACAUUUGUUAGCAGUCUGACUCUCACAAUAUAGGGACAAGAGCAAGGACAUAUCGUGAGGUGAAACAACUGCCCGCAGGUUUUGGAUUAUUAAAAUCCCACACGAAUUAUUGGUACAAGAUCUUACUGAACCAACUUUCAUUUGAUUGAGAAAAAAAGAUGAAGAGAACAGAAACUGCUUGGUUUGAUUGCCUAAGAGGUAGCUCGUGUCUUUGGCCACCGGCAGUAAAUGGAUCCACUACAAAUUUCGUUGCUUUUCUCUAUAGAUUGGGAGGAUUAGUAUUGUGUAGCUUGUCAUGAUGCUGUUUGUUGCAGAUAGCCCCAAGCUCGAGACAGAAUAUUUAUCAGGGUCAUGGUACUUCUGUAGCACCCAAGCUCUAGUAGGUUGGAUGGGGUUAUGAACGAGUAUAAUUCAUACCUAGGCCUUAAUGAUUAAUUAACAAUUUAGCAUGUAACAAUUACCAUGUAAAUGAUCAAGUCUCCAUGCAAGGCACCAUAAGUAACGACUCAGAAAAAGUGCUAGCCACAUAUGUAUACGAGUCCAAAAAGACUAACCAAACUGAAGCUUCCCUAAAAUCACUUAUAAAGCCCAGUUUCACGUGGUAAUUAACCAAUGCUGGCCUUAGCAUUUAUGACUACUUAUACCCAUCUGUGGUUAUUCCUUUUAUCAACGUGGGAUUGGAGCAGUACUGCUUUACUUGAACAAUGCGGGUCUCAUUCCAUAGAAUCUCCCAACUCUCAGAUUGGAUCCUUGAUAUUUCAGGAAUUAUAACUAGUCUUUUGGUCGUAAUCAUAUUGAGCAUAUAGCUUUUCUGUUGGUAUAGCUGCAUGUAAUGUAUAAUAUCAGAAGUGAAAUCAAACUAUUCUAGUAUUUCUUUUUCUAACGAUCGUUCCUGCAAUGUAUGUGUGGUUAAUGGGUCAUUGGACCGACAGGCACCUUGUGGAGAACUUUGUACUCGUCUUGCACGUUUUUUGUCAUGUGUAGAUUUCUAUAAUCGGCUUUGACACACAAAGUAGAGGAGCAUCCAUACUUGAAGAGGCCAUGGUACAAAUUACAUCCAUGCGGAACCGGUGAGUGGAUGAAGCUGCUUUUCCAAGGUGAUGUUUCUCUGGCUAGAAAUGGAG
Juglans regia (Persian walnut) is the source of this 2113-nucleotide RNA transcript. It is a transcript of the gene named ubiquitin-like-conjugating enzyme ATG10, with no coding region annotated. The record is from RefSeq and is a predicted model, not a curated record. Lineage: Eukaryota; Viridiplantae; Streptophyta; Magnoliopsida; Fagales; Juglandaceae. The transcript is spliced from 8 exons.